UGAGCAAAAUGUCUUGUGGAUUACUGUU
This 28-nucleotide non-coding RNA is filed under the name Rattus norvegicus (Norway rat). The record is from RNAcentral. Lineage: Eukaryota; Metazoa; Chordata; Mammalia; Rodentia; Muridae.